This is a long non-coding RNA of Ipomoea nil (Japanese morning glory), 232 nucleotides long. RefSeq lists it as uncharacterized. The transcript has 3 exons. Lineage: Eukaryota; Viridiplantae; Streptophyta; Magnoliopsida; Solanales; Convolvulaceae. The record is from RefSeq and is a predicted model, not a curated record.
UUGGUAAACGUGACAAGACUCUUAAAGAAUAGGCGAAGGCUAAUUCUUUAGUUAUUGAAAGAUUGAUUGUUGAAAAAAGCACAUAACAAUGUUGUAAGUGAAUUGGCAAGCCCUCUUGAUAAACAAAUAUCACCAAUUUCAAAUUUAAAGAAGCUAAGUCAUUUGAUCAGUCAAAAGUAGUAUGGGUUAAAUCAAAGAUCACACUCAUAGACAACGGAAAUCCUACCUAAUA